This 301-nucleotide ribosomal RNA is filed under the name uncultured bacterium. RNAcentral's name for it is "partial 16S ribosomal RNA". It matches the Rfam family "Bacterial small subunit ribosomal RNA", at positions 509 to 807 of the family's 1533-position model. The record is from RNAcentral.
CAGUCGCCACGGGAAUACGAAGGGUGCAAGCGUUACUCGGAAUUACUGGGCGUAAAGCGUGUGUAGGUGGUUGUUUAAGUCUGUCGUGAAAGCCCUGGGCUCAACCUGGGAAUUGCAGUGGAUACUGGGUCACUAGAGUGUGGUAGAGGAUAGUGGAAUUUCCGGUGUAGCAGUGAAAUGCGUAGAGAUCGGAAGGAACAUCUGUGGCGAAGGCGACUAUCUGGGCCAACACUGACACUGAGGCACGAUAGCGUGGGGAGCAAACAGGAUUAGAUACCCCUGUAGUCCCUGUCUCUUAUAC